UGACUCUAAAACCUCUCUGUUCCUCGAUUUAUAGAUUACAUCGUGUUUUUCUCUUCCGUGCGAUCAAGAUCUUCAAAGUAAGCAUCUUUCAAAGUAGCGACACAUGAAAUACAGCUGGAGGAUCAGUAACUCCCUGUUAAGCAGCUUUGCUUGCUGUCAUUGUUGACUGCCAGAGGGUGGUGAUCCAUGUCAGUCACUAAAAUGACACCUUGGCAAUACUGCAGUCUGCUUCUGGAGGUUUUGUGUAUGGGACCACUUUUAAGGUUCCUCAAAGAGUCUUAGAAAACCCAGUGAACCCCAUCUCAGGUGAACCCUUUGAUUGUGACUCAUGGUUCCUGACUCGUUCCAAAACUGCUUUCUGGAUUCUGUUGGCCUGUAAUCUUUCCCAGGAAGGAAAUGCAAAAGACAGGUUCUUGUGUUCCAGAGAGAGGCAGUUGCAGUUGGGCAGUUGGGAUUUCAACUUGUGUCCAGAAGCAGGAAGUAUCAUAAAUCUUGUGAAGUGA
Molecule: long non-coding RNA, 503 nt
Filed under: Microcebus murinus (gray mouse lemur)
Lineage: Eukaryota; Metazoa; Chordata; Mammalia; Primates; Cheirogaleidae
Description: lncRNA (ENSMICG00000048555.1)
Source: RNAcentral